CUUUCCAAGGCAGCCCCGCGUAUACGAGGGCUGCAGCGUAUCCGAAUUACUGGGCGUACAGCGCCACGCAGGCGGUCUGUCAAGUCGGAUGUGAAAUCCCCCGGGCUCACCUGGGAACUGCAUUCGAAACUGGCAGGCUAGAGUCUUGUAGAGGGGGGUAGAAUUUCCAGGUGUAGCGGUGAAAUGCGUAGAGAUCUGGAGGAAUACCGGUGGCGAAGGGCGGCCCCCUGGACAAAGACUGACGCUCAGGUGCGAAAGCGUGGGGAGCAAACAGGAUUAGAUACCCUGGUAGUCCACGCCGUAAACGAUGUCGAUUUGGAGGUUGUGCCCUUGAGGCGUGGCUUCCGGAGCUAACGCGUUAAAUCGACCGCCUGGGGAGUACGGCCGCAAGGUUAAAACUCAAAUGAAUUGACGGGGGCCCGCACAAGCGGUGGAGCAUGUGGUUUAAUUCGAUGCAACGCGAAGAACCUUACCUGGUCUUGACAUCCACAGAACUUUCCAGAGAUGGAUUGGUGCCUUCGGGAACUGUGAGACAGGUGCUGCAUGGCUGUCGUCAGCUCGUGUUGUGAAAUGUUGGGUUAAGUCCCGCAACGAGCGCAACCCUUAUCCUUUGUUGCCAGCGGUUAGGCCGGGAACUCAAAGGAGACUGCCAGUGAUAAACUGGAGGAAGGUGGGGAUGACGUCAAGUCAUCAUGGCCCUUACGACCAGGGCUACACACGUGCUACAAUGGCAUAUACAAAGAGAAGCGACCUCGCGAGAGCAAGCGGACCUCAUAAAGUAUGUCGUAGUCCGGAUUGGAGUCUGCAACUCGACUCCAUGAAGUCGGAAUCGCUAGUAAUCGUAGAUCAGAAUGCUACGGUGAAUACGUUCCCGGGCCUUGUACACACCGCCCGUCACACCAUGGGAGUGGGUUGCAAAAGAAGUAGGUAGCUUAACCUUCGGAGGGCGCUUACCACUUUG
RNAcentral lists this ribosomal RNA (961 nucleotides) under Klebsiella pneumoniae. Its description in RNAcentral is "bacterial SSU rRNA". It matches the Rfam family "Bacterial small subunit ribosomal RNA", at positions 502 to 1464 of the family's 1533-position model. Lineage: Bacteria; Pseudomonadati; Pseudomonadota; Gammaproteobacteria; Enterobacterales; Enterobacteriaceae. The record is from RNAcentral.